CUUCAAGUCUGUGAGAGAAUAUCUAGAAUCUUCAACCCAUUUUGUCUUCUCUUCAAUUCUCAUCUUCCCUUUUUUGUGUGAUUAAAGGUUGAAAUCUCCAUGUAAGAUAGGAGUCUUUGUGAUUUUUGUUGUGUGUGUUAGACGAUUGAUCUAGGAUUGAGUUCUUUCUGGGUCCAUUGUAGUGACUUUGUUUCAUUUCUUGAGUUGUGAGGGUUUUGGGUUUGUCCAAUGCCUCUGUGUUGAUAUAGAAGUAAGCUAAGAUCUUUGAUGCCGGUUGAUUGGGGAUUUUUUUGAGUAUUGUUGAUGUAUUCUCUCCGUACUGAAAUUGUUGUAUCUUUGAGUGAUUUGUAUUAAUAGUGGUAUCAGAGUCUUGCGGAGGCAUCGCUCAAGUCUUCGAUCGAGUUUAUCUCUGGAAAAUUAAUUUUCAAUUGAUAACUUGAAUCGAUUGGAAAUCAGAUGAAACCCUAGGUCUACUAUUUACAGAUCUAGGGGUUGUUGGAGUAGAUCGUGGUACUGAGAAUACAAUCUUAAAAGAAACUCUUGGUUUCUAUAUGCUCUUCAAGGAGAAGCCCUAGAUCUAGAUUUAUCAAAUGUGAAUCCCAAAUCCGAGUUCAUAACGGCCUGUGAUCUUUUCGUAAAACAAGUGUUCUAGUGGUUAUAUUAAAAAAUACCACCACUCUGGUUUGUCGCUUUUAACUCUAACUCAUUUCUUGUGUUCUCUUUUGAACUGUUUUCUAUUCUUUCAUAUGUGAAAUUGUGCUUGGUUCUGCAUUAUUAUCGUGGCCUUUGCUAUUUGAUAAUCUUGAUUUUUUGAACUAUUCCUAGGUUGUGCCUUGACCUGAGAACUUAAUUCUCAAAGAAUCCUGGUGAAUCUGGGAAUCAGUUUGGGAGUGAUCUAUUGUUAUAGUUUUGUGCUUUACCCAUGAGCUAUUGUUGUAUGUGAGUUCAUUAUUUUUUGUUAAAAGAUAAAUGGUAGUUCUUGCAUUUGUCUCCCUUAAUAUUUGUUUUUGGAACUUUUGCGUUGACUUUUUUUUUUAAUUCAUCUUUUUUGAAUUGCUAUCACUGAUAUAAUUCUCUUCCUUAAAUAAAGAAAAAUAUUAUUUUCAAAUAUAAUGAUUACAGCCACUUUUGAACUUGGUGUUUAUAAUAGAAAACGGGAUUUUCCCAUCUAGCAAUAAAAGAUAAAGGGAGUUUUAGGUCAACAAAGAGAUUCUAAGCUAAUGAUUAGAAAAAUGAAGCUGAUGAACUAGCCUAUACUUCUAUUAUCUUGUAUUUGCCUGGUCAAAUAUUAAGAAAAGUAGGAAAAAAGAAUACUACCAAAGAAUUGUGGAAAAGACUAGAAGAACUUUACCUGGCUAAAUCUCUGCCAAAAAGACUGUUUCUUUUGGAAAGAUUCUUUGGCUUUAAAAUUGAUUCCUCUGAGGACUUAGAUGAUAACUUUGAUGUCUUCAAUAAAUUACUCCACGAUAUCACUAAUACAAGGAUAAGGUAUCUGAGGAAUAUAAAGUUGUUGUCCUAUUAAAUGCAAUACUAGAAAUCUUUAAGGAUGUCAAAACUACCAUAAAUAUGGCAUAGACAUCCUCACACUUGAUAUUGUUAUUGAAUCCUUGAGAAGUAAAGAACUAGAAUUGAAUAUGAGAAACAUAGGAGUAUGUCUGAGAGUUUCUUUGUGAGAGACAAACCUUAGGUUAGGCAAAACUAGGGACAACAAUUCAACUCAUCGGCUCGAAAAAAUCCCAAGCCGGCUCAGCUCAAGGAUCGGGUCGAGCCCCAUUUUAAAAGGACGAAAUGGGCUCACACGGGCCCGCUCGAGCUUCAACUGCCUUUAAAAGGUGGCAUUUUGCUACCUUAAGAGGCAGCCAAGUGGGGCCUUUCAUUUUUUAAGGUUCGUAAUAAAAGGCAGCAUCACAAUGCCUUAAAAAGGUAGCACAAUGUUGCCUUCAAUUUACUUAUUAAAAAAAUUAACAGUAAAAGGCUUGUUCGGAAAGGCCCGAGCUAAAAACUCAGGUUGAGCCUAAAUUUUUUGUUUGGCUCAAUUCAAGCCCAAAAAAAUCUCGCACUGUUUUACUUGAGCCCAGCUCGAGCCUCGAGUUUUGACUUGGCUCAUUGACAUCCCUAGGCAGAAGUGAAGUCAAAAAGGUCAAAAUAGCCAAGUAAAUAGAAAUAAGAAAAAAGGUAAAGAGAGGAUUAGAUCUAAAUCUAGGACUAAAAAUAAGAAGUGAUAUGGGUGUGGAAAAUAAGGUCACUUUAUAAAGGACUGUUAUCAAAAGCAGAGUGAAAUGAAAGAAAAGAAAAUAGAUGAAGGUAAUAAGGUAGAACUUUUAGAGUCUAACACCAUUGAUGUGUAUGUUGUUAGUAAGCAUACCACUAAUCUAAACACUGCUAAUUUUUUAGCUAACAGUGAUCAGAACCAAGAAUGGAUAUUGGAUUCAGGUUGUACCUUCCAUGUGACAUCUAGAAAACAAUGGUUAGACAAUUUUUAAAAUACUUAGUGGAGGUGAAGUGGUUAUGGGAAAUAAUGUUGUAUGUAAAGUGGAAGGUAUAAGUAAUGUUACCUUGAUGUUUGACAAUGUUAUCUAUACUCUUGAAAGAGUUAGAUAUGUCCUUGAAUUGAAUAGGAACAUUAUCUCCAUAGGGGAUUUGGAUGACAUGGGCCUCAGGCCUGCAAGGUAAAUUUGGAAAUGACUUAGUUAAAGUGAUGAAAGGAUCACUUGUCAUUUUCAAGGGUUAUAAAAGAAAUGGAAUACAUAUCACUAAAGCUGAUGUUGUCAUGAAUAAUGCUGCUGAAGUUACUAGUUUUGAAUCCGAUUCUACCUUCAAGUGGCAUAAAAGGCUGGCUCAUGUGAGUGAAAAAGGACUUCAAAUCCUUCAUAAGAAAGGGGUUUUUGGUAAAGAAUAGGUAACAAAAAUUCAUUUUUUGUGAAGAUUGCACCCUAGGAAAACAACAUAGAUUACACUUUAAUACUGGUCAACAUAAAUCCACUNAUAUGACAUACAUAUCAGUCACUUACUAUCUCACAAAUGACAUCUAAAUUCAAUACUAAAAAUAUCAAAACAUUAGCCUCCAAACACCAAAUUUAAAAAAGCAUAUCAAUGACUUUAAUGUGAGAUUUAUACUUAUGUUUAAAUUCCACAAAUUUUCUCCACAAAAAAAGAAAAAUUAAAAUUAAAUUAAAUUGAAUUGAAUUUUACAGCAAUAUAUAGAAAUGCCCAUCAUGAGGUCAUCCUAGAGUCGGUUGGACAUCCAAGGGCAGGUCAAAUAUAAGAAUUCGUGGCAAUUAAAGAAAAAUGUAAUAAAUAGAUAGAAACUGCAAGACAAAAAUAAGCACUUUUAGUAAAUAAAUGACCUAAAGAUUUCUUAUCACAAGUUUAUGUCAGGUUGUGAUGUCAGGUUCAAUCCAAUAAGUUAGGCUAUGAUGAUAUGGCAUGUCGGUCAUAUAAAUAAAACUACCCAAUAACGUCUCAUAGAAGGCCCACGACCCCAAGCCCAAUAUUCGGCUAGAUAUAUCGCAUGUUCAAAGUUCGACUUUAGUUGUUGAUUGAAUAGAAAUGUUAGUCGCUCUAGAACAUUAGAUCACAUUCUCUGAUCAAUGGUUGCUGUGUUUAGUAUAAAAAGGGUCUUUUUUGUAACCAUAAACUAGUAGAUUCAUUCGUCAAGUCUGUGAGAGAAUCUCUAGAAUCUUCAACCCAUUUUGUCUUCUCUUCAAUUCUCAUCUGCCCUUUUUUGUGGGAUUAAAGGUUGAAAUCUCCAUGUAAGAUAGGAGUCUUUGUGAUUUCUGCUGUGUGUGUAAAACGAUUGAUCUAGGAUUGAGUUCUUUCUGGGUCCAUUGUUGUGACUUUGUUUCAUGUCUUGAGUUGUGAGGGUUUUGGGUUUGUCCAAUGCCUCUGUGUUGAUACAGAAGUGUACAGUGAUUUGAGCCUACGAUCGAUAAGAUCUUUGAUGCCGGUUGAUUGGGGAUUUUUUGAGUAUUGUUGAUGUAUUCUCUGAAAUUGUUGUAUCUUUGAGUGAUUUGUAUUACUAGUGGUAUCAAAGUCUUGCGGAGUCAUUGUUCAAGUCUUUGAUCGAGUUUAUCUCUGGAAAAUUAAUUUUCAAUUGAUAACUUGAAUCGAUUGGAAAUCAGAUGAAACCUUAGGUCUACUAUUUAUAGAUCUAGGCUUUGCUGGAGUAGAUUGUGGUACUGAGAAUUCAAUCUUAAAAGAAACUCUUGGUUUCUAUAUGCUCUUUGAGGAGAAGCCCUAGAUCUAGAUUUUAUCAAGUGUGAAUCCCAAAUCCGAGUUCAUAACGCUGUGAUCUUUUCGUAAAACAAGUGUUCUAGUGGUUAUAUUAAAAAAUACCACCACUCUGGUUUGCCGCUUUUAACUCUAACUCAUUUCUUGUGUUCUCUUUUGAACUGUUUUCUAUUCUUUCAUAUGUGAAAUCGUGCUUGGUUUUGCAUUAUUAUCGUGGCCUUUGCUAUUUGAUAAUCUUUAUUUUUUGAACUAUUCCUAGGUUGUGCCUUGACCUGAG
RNAcentral lists this long non-coding RNA (4507 nucleotides) under Olea europaea subsp. europaea. The record is from RNAcentral. Lineage: Eukaryota; Viridiplantae; Streptophyta; Magnoliopsida; Lamiales; Oleaceae.